UGGCCUACAGACAAAACAAAUGAUAAAUCAAAUAAACAUGGUGUUAUACGAUACAUAUAUUUGUAGGUUUUAAAGCGAAAUGUUGAAAUUGAUUCAUGAUCUGCAUUGAUACACCUUUUAUAGUAUGUACACCUUUUAUAGUAUGCACACCUUAUAUCAACAAAAUAUUUUCUCAUACAUUUUAGGAAGAAAACAAUUAAUAAUAAACAGCUGCGUCAUGAGAGCAUGAUACACCCGUCACUUUUUUUUUAAAGUUCAAUAACUUCCCAA
RNAcentral lists this long non-coding RNA (270 nucleotides) under Mytilus galloprovincialis (Mediterranean mussel). Lineage: Eukaryota; Metazoa; Mollusca; Bivalvia; Mytilida; Mytilidae. The record is from RNAcentral.